GGUUGUGGCUCAGUGGCAGAGCGCUUGCUUCACAAAUGUGAGGCAUUGGGUUCAAUCCUCAGCACCA
This 67-nucleotide transfer RNA is filed under the name Marmota monax (woodchuck). RNAcentral's name for it is "tRNA.Val". Lineage: Eukaryota; Metazoa; Chordata; Mammalia; Rodentia; Sciuridae. The record is from RNAcentral.